This 306-nucleotide small nuclear RNA is filed under the name Castor canadensis (American beaver). RNAcentral describes it as "7SK RNA (ENSCCNG00000004983.1)". It matches the Rfam family "7SK RNA". Rfam says of the family: 7SK was discovered as an abundant small nuclear RNA in the mid-70s but a possible function has only recently been suggested. Two independent studies have found that 7SK RNA binds the CDK9/cyclin T complex (known as elongation factor P-TEFb). The record is from RNAcentral. Lineage: Eukaryota; Metazoa; Chordata; Mammalia; Rodentia; Castoridae.
GGAUUUGAAGGCAUCUGGCUGUGACAUCUGUCACCCCAUUGAUUGUCAGGGUUGAUUCGGCUGAUCUGGCUGGGUAGGUGGGUGUCCCCUUCCUCCCUUACCACUGCAUGUGUGUCCCUCCCAAAGCUGCGUGCUUGGUGGAAAAGGACGACCAUUCCUUACAGAAGACUGUUUUUGGGUCAAGAGUAUACAAGUAGCUGCACUCCCCUGCUAGAACCUACAAACAAGCUCUCAAAAAAAAAAAAAAAAAAGAACCAAAAAAUUAUUUUUAAAAGAUGCUUUCAAAAUUAAAAUUUCAUAACAUUU